This 510-nucleotide ribosomal RNA is filed under the name uncultured bacterium. RNAcentral's name for it is "partial 16S ribosomal RNA". It matches the Rfam family "Bacterial small subunit ribosomal RNA", at positions 28 to 507 of the family's 1533-position model. The record is from RNAcentral.
GACGAACGCUGGCGGCGUGCUUAACACAUGCAAGUCGAACGAAGAGCGAUGGAAGCUUGCUUCUAUCAAUCUUAGUGGCGAACGGGUGAGUAACGCGUAAUCAACCUGCCCUUCAGAGGGGGACAACAGUUGGAAACGACUGCUAAUACCGCAUACGAUCUAAUCUCGGCAUCGAGGAUAGAUGAAAGGUGGCCUCUACAUGUAAGCUAUCACUGAAGGAGGGGAUUGCGUCUGAUUAGCUAGUUGGAGGGGUAACGGCCCACCAAGGCGAUGAUCAGUAGCCGGUCUGAGAGGAUGAACGGCCACAUUGGGACUGAGACACGGCCCAGACUCCUACGGGAGGCAGCAGUGGGGAAUCUUCCGCAAUGGACGAAAGUCUGACGGAGCAACGCCGCGUGAGUGAUGACGGCCUUCGGGUUGUAAAGCGCUGUUAAUCGGGACGAAAGGCCUUCUUGCGAAUAGUGAGAAGGAUUGACGGUACCGGAAUAGAAAGCCACGGCUAACUACGUG